This 76-nucleotide transfer RNA is filed under the name Clostridiaceae bacterium. Its description in RNAcentral is "tRNA-Lys". It matches the Rfam family "tRNA". Rfam says of the family: Transfer RNA (tRNA) molecules are approximately 80 nucleotides in length. RNAcentral also lists the same sequence under 1 other name. The record is from RNAcentral. Lineage: Bacteria; Bacillati; Bacillota; Clostridia; Eubacteriales; Clostridiaceae.
GAGCCAUUAGCUCAGCAGGUAGAGCACAUGACUUUUAAUCAUGGGGUCCGGGGUUCGAACCCCCGAUGGCUCACCA